AUGCCAUAUGCGCAGCAGCGCCGGAGUCGAGGUACCAGUCGGAUGUGCUACCCGACGACGAUGGCCCUGACGAAGCACUGUGCAGCGCAGCCUGAAGAGACGCCAUGUCCCAGGGCUGCUGCUGUUGAGGAGGCGGGGCAGCAGGGUAGCCGUAGCCAGGCGGCGGGCCGCCGGGGGCACCGUACCGUACAACGAUGCGGACAGCAUGGCCAUCAUGGCCUGCUGAUGAGGGGUCCCGGGGCGAGGCCCGAGCACGCCGGCUCCAGGUGCGCGCCAGGCGACAGGCCAAGCUUGAACAAGGCCCGUCCAGGAAUUGGUGCCGGGCGCCGGUGCAGGAUAGCCGGGCGGAGGGCGCGGCGGCUGCGGGCCAGCAGAGCUAGAAGCCCCCCCUCCCUCCCCCCUUGCCCACGUCCACGCUUCUUCCCGAGCCCGAUGAGUCGAUUGGUGGGGCGGCGGGCGCCGGCAGCGGAGGGCGCGCGGCGAUCAGCGCAUGGGCGCUCUGGUGACGUGUCGCCUGCUCAGCGCGGAGCUCCUCAAGCAGCAAGAACGAGCGCGUCUCCAGGAAGGCGCCGGAUGUCAACCGUCUGA
RNAcentral lists this ribosomal RNA (588 nucleotides) under Triticum aestivum (bread wheat). RNAcentral's name for it is "partial small subunit ribosomal RNA". The record is from RNAcentral. Lineage: Eukaryota; Viridiplantae; Streptophyta; Magnoliopsida; Poales; Poaceae.